ACAAUACUGAAUCUUCAAUACUUCUAGGGAUUGCGAUCCAGAAAUAAUGUCAUCGAGAAAUCCAUUACAUAUCUUCACAUAUGAUAGCUCUAAAGAUUUCAGAUUAUGACAUCCAACAACAACCAAAUUUCUCGAUAAAUAACCAUUGUAAAACAAGUGUUCAAGGCUUGGUGCUUCGAUUCUCACACGUUGGUUUCUAUUUAUUGAUAGGGAAACUGACUUGAGCUUUUGAAGAUUCAUAAGCUCAAUCUUUACCAACCCCGAACAACGAUCAAGGGUAAAAGAGUCGAUGAACGGACAACUAUUAAGUAAAGUCUGAAGCAAUUUUUUGCUUAUAAAUAUAUAAGAUAGAGAAAGCUUUCUCAAAGAAUGACAAUUCGCGAACCCAGUAGAUGGCGAAAAAUGCACAAUGUCACAACCUUUCAGAUCCAAUUCUCUUA
Molecule: unclassified non-coding RNA, 440 nt
Filed under: Hevea brasiliensis (rubber tree)
Lineage: Eukaryota; Viridiplantae; Streptophyta; Magnoliopsida; Malpighiales; Euphorbiaceae
Source: RNAcentral